Molecule: ribosomal RNA, 468 nt
Filed under: uncultured bacterium
Lineage: Bacteria
Description: partial 16S ribosomal RNA
Rfam family: Bacterial small subunit ribosomal RNA
Source: RNAcentral
GACGAACGCUGGCGGCGUGCUUAACACAUGCAAGUCGAACGGAAAGGCCCUGCUUUUGUGGGGUGCUCGAGUGGCGAACGGGUGAGUAACACGUGAGUAACCUGCCCUUGACUUUGGGAUAACUUCAGGAAACUGGGGCUAAUACCGGAUAGGGGCUCCUGCUGCAUGGUGGGGGUUGGAAAGUUUCGGCGGUUGGGGAUGGACUCGCGGCUUAUCAGCUUGUUGGUGGGGUAGUGGCUUACCAAGGCUUUGACGGGUAGCCGGCCUGAGAGGGUGACCGGCCACAUUGGGACUGAGAUACGGCCCAGACUCCUACGGGAGGCAGCAGUGGGGAAUAUUGCACAAUGGGCGGAAGCCUGAUGCAGCAACGCCGCGUGCGGGAUGACGGCCUUCGGGUUGUAAACCGCUUUCGCCUGUGACGAAGCGUGAGUGACGGUAACGGGUAAAGAAGCACCGGCUAACUAUGUG